Molecule: long non-coding RNA, 385 nt
Filed under: Pan troglodytes (chimpanzee)
Lineage: Eukaryota; Metazoa; Chordata; Mammalia; Primates; Hominidae
Description: long non-coding RNA NONPTRT014883
Source: RNAcentral
UUUGUCCCACAGCGGGCAGGGGGAAGUCAGGAAAACGGACACACUGCUGUUUGGGCAACCCUUUGUCAGGGCCUGUUAUCUCCCACUUGCAGAUCCAGGGCAUUUCAGAGGUCAGAGAGAGGAGGGAGGCCUCUUCUGAGAUUUUGACCUCUAUUCAGGGGAAUGCCGAAAAAUGAAGUGGCCUGUGGCGGUGUGGUAAAAAUGAAACGGCCAGGUGCGAUGAUUCAAGCCUGUAAUCCCAGCACUUUGGGAGGCUGAGGCGAGCAGAUCACCUGAGGUCAGGAGUUCGAGACCAGCCUGGCCAACGUGGGGAAACCCCAUCUCUACUAAAAAUACAAAAAAUUAGAUGGGCAUGGUGGUGCACGCCUGUAACCCCAGCUACUCG